GCUAUUUAGCGGGGGCGCGCGGCGGGCUCGAGGACGCGCGAAACGGAGGCGGCGGCGGCGGCGGCGGCGGCCGUUGCGGGGCGCACUCUCGAGUGGCAGAGGCGGCCCAGGGUGUCCCGUCAGUCUCGGCGCCGGGAAGAGGCGGUGACACUGCCCUCGGUGGCGGGGGUUGGCGACGGAGCGCGUUGGUGCCAGGACUGGUCCAAGGCGCACUCUCCGCCCACAGAAAUGAGCCGUCAGACUGCUACCGCAUUGCCUAUCGGUACCUCGAAGUGUCCACCGUCCCAGAGGGUGCCUGCCCUGACUGGCACGACUGCAUCCAACAAUGACUUGGCGAGUCUUUUUAAGUGUCCAGUCUGCUUUGACUAUGUGUUACCACCCAUUCUUCAAUGUCAGAGUGGCCAUCUUGUUUGUAGCAGCUGUCACCCAAAGCUCACAUGUUGUCCAACUUGCCGUGGCCCGUUGGGAUCCAUUCGCAACUUGGCUAUGGAGAAAGUGGCUAAUUCAGUACUUUCCCCCUGUAAAUGGAUGUGAAAUAACUGCCACACACAGAAAAAGCAGACCACGAAGAGCUCUGUGAGUUUAGGCCUUAUUCCUGUCCGUGCCCUGGUGCUUCCGGUAAAUGGCAAGGCUCUCUGGAUGCUGUAAUGCCCCAUCUGAUGCAUCAGCAUAAGUCCAUUACAACCCUACAGGGAGAGGAUAUAGUUUUCCUUGCUACAGACAUUAAUUUUCCUGGUGCUGUUGACUGGAUGAUGAUGCAGUCCCGUUUUGGCUUUCACUUCAUGUUAGUCUUGGAGAAACAGGAAAAAGACGAUGGUCACCAGCAGUUCUUCUCAAUCGUACCACUGAUAGGAACACGCAAGCAAACUGAAAAUUUUGCUUACCCACUUGAGCUAAAUGGUCAUAGGCGACGAUUGACUUGGGAAGCAACUCCUCGAUCUAUUCAUGAAGGAAUUGCAACAGCCAGUAUGAAUAGUGACUGUCUAGUCUUUGACACCAGCAUUGCACAGCUUUUUGCAGAAAACGGCAAUUUAGGCAUCAAUGUAACUAUUUCCAUGUGUUGAAAUGGCAAUCAAACAUUUUGUGGCCAGUGUUUCAUCUUUUGGUAGUGAAAGCUAGACACAUGAAGGUAAAUAAAAAGAAAGGCUGUUAAAUACAGGAAACAGUUGCAUGUAGUAACACUAAUAUAUUUUAAAAUAAGUCAACAGUAAACCACUGAAAAAAUGUAUGUAUAUACACCCAAGAUGGGCAUCUUUUGUAUUAAGAAAGAAGAAAGCAUUGUAAAAUAAUUCUGAGUUUUGUGUUUGUUGUAGAUUGUAUUGUUCAAAAAUAAUGGGUUUUUUGUUUUGUUUCUGCAUGUGUGAGUGUGUGCGUGAGUGUGUGCGUGUUUGGGUUUUUUUCCUUUAACUGACAAGCCAUCUUGAGUGGUCAUGGGCCACUGCUUUUCCCCUUUGUGAGUCAAUACACAGUGCUGCGGUGUGCUUUUUUGUGUGUGUUUUUGCUAAUUUUUAUUAAUUCUAGUUUUUAUUAAAUAAAUUUGACUUUCUUUUCUGUAAUUCAGGUUUUUCCUCACUUUUUUUUUGUACCAUUUUAAAGUUAGUGUCUUUUGCUAUGCAUAAUUGUUUAUGGUAAAAUUUAUAACAUGCAUUCAAUACAUAUUUCUUUUCCCCAUUGAUCAGUUCAUUAGAAAUAUUUUAAAAUCAGCUAUUUUAUGAAGCUAUGAGUUCCAGAAAGUAAAGGUGGCAUCGGGAAAAUUAUCAAAAGCUAUUUAAAGCAUCUAUAAGAUGGUUUCUCUUUCUCUCUUCUACAAAUGAGUCACACCUUUGAGCUUAAUCGUUGAUGCAUUAGAGAAUCAAUUGAAUCUUAUAAUGAAAAUUGGGCUUUUGUUUCCUUUUUCAAAUAUCUUAGACAAAUCAUCUGUUUAAGAUUUGUUCUUGUAUUUAUUGGUUUUGCAGAAGAAGGCAUCGUCAUGCACAGUAUUUGUAAUUAAAAGCAAAUCAUUUGUUUAAAAAGGCAGUUUGCAAAAAAAAUGUUUUUGGUCUUUUAUAAUUCUCAUUAAAAGAAUAUCUGGCAAAUUAAAAAAUACA
Callithrix jacchus (white-tufted-ear marmoset) is the source of this 2087-nucleotide non-coding RNA. The record is from RefSeq and is a predicted model, not a curated record. NCBI's taxonomy places the organism in Eukaryota, Metazoa, Chordata, Mammalia, Primates, Cebidae.